UUUUAGCCCCGAUUGAAGGGAAAAUCCUUUUUCUUUUUUUUCAAGAAAAAAGAAAAAGAUUGGAAUGAAAGCGGGUACGAAU
RNAcentral lists this small RNA (82 nucleotides) under Kaistella chaponensis. RNAcentral describes it as "Chryseobacterium chaponense Flavo-1 RNA". It matches the Rfam family "Flavo-1 RNA". The record is from RNAcentral. Lineage: Bacteria; Pseudomonadati; Bacteroidota; Flavobacteriia; Flavobacteriales; Weeksellaceae.